GUUGAACGCUGGCGGCAGGCCUAACACAUGCGAGUCGAGCGGAUGAAGGGAGCUUGCUCCUGGAUUCAGCGGCGGACGGGUGAGUAAUGCCUAGGAAUCUGCCUGGUAGUGGGGGAUAACGUCCGGAAACGGGCGCUAAUACCGCAUACGUCCUGAGGGAGAAAGUGGGGGAUCUUCGGACCUCACGCUAUCAGAUGAGCCUAGGUCGGAUUAGCUAGUUGGUGGGGUAAAGGCCUACCAAGUCGACGAUCCGUAACUGGUCUGAGUGGAUGAUCAGUCACCCUGGAACUGAGACACGGUCCAGACUCCUGCGGGACGCAGCAGUGGGGAAUAGUGGACAAUGGGCGAAAGCCUGGUCCAGCCAUGCCGCGUGUGUUAAGAAGGUCUUCGGAUUGUAAAGCACUUUAAGUUGGGAGGAAGGGCAGUAAGUUAAUACCUUGCUGUUUUGACGUUACCAACAGAAUAAGCACCGGCUAACUUCGUG
This 484-nucleotide ribosomal RNA is filed under the name uncultured bacterium. Its description in RNAcentral is "partial 16S ribosomal RNA". It matches the Rfam family "Bacterial small subunit ribosomal RNA", at positions 28 to 507 of the family's 1533-position model. The record is from RNAcentral.